RNAcentral lists this unclassified non-coding RNA (217 nucleotides) under uncultured Thelephoraceae. RNAcentral describes it as "sequence contains ITS2". Lineage: Eukaryota; Fungi; Basidiomycota; Agaricomycetes; Thelephorales; Thelephoraceae. The record is from RNAcentral.
ACACCUCAACUCUCAUGGUUUGCCAUGAUGAGCUUGGACUUUGGGGGUCUUGUUGGCCACAAGCCAGCUCCUCUUAAAUGGAUCAGCUUGCCAGUGUUUGGUGGAGUCACGGGUGUGAUAACUAUCUACGCUCGUGGUUUCCCAUCAGAUAACCUUCAGCGAUGGAGGUUCGCUGGGGCUUAUAAAUGUCUCUCCUCAGUGAGGGCAGAUUUUGACC